RNAcentral lists this ribosomal RNA (497 nucleotides) under uncultured bacterium. RNAcentral describes it as "partial 16S ribosomal RNA". It matches the Rfam family "Bacterial small subunit ribosomal RNA", at positions 28 to 507 of the family's 1533-position model. The record is from RNAcentral.
GAUGAACGCUGGCGGCGUGCCUAAUGCAUGCAAGUCGAGCGAACAGAUGAGGAGCUUGCUCCUCUGACGUUAGCGGCGGACGGGUGAGUAACACGUGGAUAACCUACCUAUAAGACUGGGAUAACUUCGGGAAACCGGAGCUAAUACCGGAUAAUAUAUUGAACCGCAUGGUUCAAUAGUGAAAGACGGUUUUGAUGUCACUUAUAGAUGGAUCCGCGCCGCAUUAGCUAGUUGGUAAGGUAACGGCUUACCAAGGCAACGAUGCGUAGCCGACCUGAGAGGGUGAUCGGCCACACUGGAACUGAGACACGGUCCAGACUCCUACGGGAGGCAGCAGUAGGGAAUCUUCCGCAAUGGGCGAAAGCUUGACGGAGCAACGCCGCGUGAGUGAUGAAGGUCUUCGGAUCGUAAAACUCUGUUAUUAGGGAAGAACAAAUGUGUAAGUAACUAUGCACGUCUUGACGGUACCUAAUCAGAAAGCCACGGCUAACUACGUG